Molecule: small nucleolar RNA, 134 nt
Organism: Cricetulus griseus (Chinese hamster)
Lineage: Eukaryota; Metazoa; Chordata; Mammalia; Rodentia; Cricetidae
Source: Ensembl
AUGCGCUGCCUUUGAGCCCCCGGCGCCCUUCCUCGUGGCGCCGGGAGUUAAGCUGCGGCGCCACAGCAAUUGCUAGUUCAUAACUGGGGCCGUCUGCCCAUCGCGGGCGGCCCUUUUAACUGCUAGCUACAGGU